CCGGUGGAGCCGCCGCGCAGCGGGAGCUGAUACGGGAAUUGUUUUCCCGGGCGGCGAAAGGUCUGGCUACUGAGGCCGUGCAGGAAGCAGACAGCGCAUCCGCGGCAGCCGCCGAACCGUGGUUCGCCGAGUGCUCGGAGGUGCCCGUUGUGUGGCACAAAGGAGACCCGCACAAACUUUCCAGACAGCGCUGAUUAUUCACUGAAGAGUGUUGAGAUCUGAAAAGUGCUGCGAGUCAUUAAUUUGAGACCACAGAUCAUCAGGUUUGGGAGGAGAGUUUCCACCACUCUGUCCUUGAAAUAAACCGUCAGACUGCCUCUCUCUUCUAGCAGAUCUUAUUAAUUAGUCCUGCCCAAAACAUCAGAAACUUAGGACAUGGAACAGACCUGUGCAACCAGUUUUCUGCUGCUCAACGUCUCCUAGGAUUGUCUGCCCGCCUAAACAAGGAGCAUGAAGUCCUAAAAGACAUGACAAAUCACCCAUCCCUUCUCCAGACCCACUGAGCAGAUGUCAAUGGCAGUGAUGGGGAAUACCCAUGAAUUUAAGGGCAAAAAAAAGAACUGAGUUGACUUCUCAUGUGAUUCCAAGUGGGAGGAUCAAAGCAUAUGCCCCAACUACAAACUAGCUCCAUCUUAUUGGAAAAUGGACCUGAAAUGAACAUUUGCCACAUGUUCUGGGCUUGCACCGGGUUUGGAAGGCUUGCUGUAAGUUAAAUUGGAAAAAUAAAGUCUAGAUAGCUGAGAAAGGAA
This is a long non-coding RNA of Pseudopipra pipra, 749 nucleotides long. RefSeq lists it as uncharacterized. NCBI's taxonomy places the organism in Eukaryota, Metazoa, Chordata, Aves, Passeriformes, Pipridae. The transcript is spliced from 2 exons. The record is from RefSeq and is a predicted model, not a curated record.